AUGGUAGGAUAGAGGCCUACCAUGGUGGUAACGGGUAACGGGGUGUUAGGGCACGACACCGGAGAGGGAGCCUGAGAAACGGCUACCACAUCCAAGGAAGGCAGCAGGCGCGCAAAUUACCCAAUCCCGACACGGGGAGGUAGUGACAAUAAAUAACAAUACAGGGUUCUUUGAAUCUUGUAAUUGGAAUGAGUACAAUUUAAAUCUCUUAACGAGGAACAAUUGGAGGGCAAGUCUGGUGCCAGCAGCCGCGGUAAUUCCAGCUCCAAUAGCGUAUAUUAAAGUUGCUGCAGUUAAAAAGCUCGUAGUUGAAUUUCGGGAUCAAUACGUCGGUCGUGCUUUCGGGUACGUACUGGCGUCAUUGGUUUCUCCUUUCUGACGAACCAUGAUGUCAUUAAUUUGGUGUUAUGGGGAGUUAGGACUGUUACUUUGAAAAAAUUAGAGUGUUUAAAGCAGGCAUUAGCUUGAAUACAUUAGCAUGGAAUAAUGAAAUAGGACGUUCGAUCCUAUUUUGUUGGUUUCUAGGAUCAACGUAAUGAUUAAUAGGGAUAGUUGGGGGCAUUAGUAUUCAAUUGUCAGAGGUGAAAUUCUUGGAUUUAUUGAAGACUAACUACUGCGAAAGCAUUUGCCAAGGAUGUUUUCAUUAAUCAAGAACGAAAGUUAGGGGAUCGAAGACGAUCAGAUACCGUCGUAGUCUUAACCAUAAACUAUGCCGACUAGGGAUCGGAUGAUGUUAAUUUUUUAAUGACUCAUUCGGCGCCUUACGGGAAACCAAAGUGUUUGGG
Molecule: ribosomal RNA, 785 nt
Filed under: uncultured Glomus
Lineage: Eukaryota; Fungi; Glomeromycota; Glomeromycetes; Glomerales; Glomeraceae
Description: SSU rRNA
Rfam family: Eukaryotic small subunit ribosomal RNA
Source: RNAcentral